CCUACGGGGGGCUGCAGUGGGGAAUAUUGGACAAUGGGGGCAACCCUGAUCCAGCCAUGCCGCGUGUGUGAAGAAGGCCCUCGGGUUGUAAAGCACUUUCAGUGAGGAAGAACGCCUGGUGGUUAAUACCCAUCAGGAAAGACAUCACUCACAGAAGAAGCACCGGCUAACUCCGUGCCAGCAGCCGCGGUAAUACGGAGGGUGCGAGCGUUAAUCGGAAUUACUGGGCGUAAAGCGCGCGUAGGUGGCUUGAUAAGCCGGUUGUGAAAGCCCCGGGCUCAACCUGGGAACGGCAUCCGGAACUGUCAAGCUAGAGUGCAGGAGAGGAAGGUAGAAUUCCCGGUGUAGCGGUGAAAUGCGUAGAGAUCGGGGGGAAUACCAGUGGCGAAGGCGGCCUUCUGGACUGACACUGACACUGAGGUGCGAAAGCGUGGGUAGCAAACAGGAUUAGAUACCCCAGUAGUC
RNAcentral lists this ribosomal RNA (465 nucleotides) under Vreelandella stevensii. RNAcentral's name for it is "partial 16S ribosomal RNA". It matches the Rfam family "Bacterial small subunit ribosomal RNA", at positions 338 to 795 of the family's 1533-position model. Lineage: Bacteria; Pseudomonadati; Pseudomonadota; Gammaproteobacteria; Oceanospirillales; Halomonadaceae. The record is from RNAcentral.